This 4055-nucleotide long non-coding RNA is filed under the name Dicentrarchus labrax (European seabass). RNAcentral describes it as "lncRNA (ENSDLAG00005028590.1)". The record is from RNAcentral. Lineage: Eukaryota; Metazoa; Chordata; Actinopteri; Moronidae.
GCUUUAGAGGACAGAAACCUGAUAUUUAAUAGUAAUAUUAAUAUUAUUGAUGUUUAACUCUUUUGAUUUUACUUUAAAUAGUUUAGAUGGGACAGACACAGUCUCUGUGAGGUUUUCGGUGUAAGACUGCAGCUCUGCUUCCUGUUCUUGCUUCCAACCUCUGGGUUGUCAGGUUUUAGGUUUAAAUCUACAACUACUACUCGUUACUUAUAUGGUACCUACUGCACAAGAAUAGGUUAAGAUAAAAAUAUAAAAUAAAUAAUUAGCAAAUCUGGAAUAAAAUACAUUAGGUUUUUUAGCAAAUCUACUGCUAAUAAUAAUCACGUCAAAUAAAUAACAAACAGUGGGUUUUGUUCUGCUUCAGACUGAAUUUUUUAUUUUUAUUUUUUAUUUGAUGUUCCUGUUUGGAUCUUGUUAAUCAUUUUCUCUGUUCCCUCGUAGACCGGGUCGAACCGACCUUGUUUGUCCUGAAUCCUCUGCAGCCUGAGGGGGUGCCGCAGACCGAGCUGGGUGAUAAUGUUUGUGUGGCGACUAAUUUCAGUCCAAAGGAUGGUCAGAUGGAUAUGAAUGUGGAUAAGGGGGAUAAGGUCAGUGUGAACGUCAGCAAGGCUGUUCUGGCGAAGAACAGCUCCACGUACUACUACGCUGGAUUCACCAACCGCACCAUCUUCUCCUGUGAUCUGCACAACACAUCAUCCAACAAUUACAACUUUGACUUGUGUGCUGACCUUCAGCCAGAGAAAGCCAAGCUGAACUACUACCUGAUGGUGAUGAACUCGGUGAGAGUGGUGUUCACCAAAGCUCUGGCCUUCAGCACCCUCCUCACCAUCAGAGCAGUGCUCUUCUAACGCUGAGAGCCAGCAGCUUCACUUCCUCCAGGCAAGUCUUCAACCACCAUGUCUGGGGAAAAACAGCUGAAGCUUCGAAGUGCCGAUGAAUGAAAUCAGGAUGAAAUAAGAUGGAUUAAUCGUGUGGGGGGUUUUAUAAAGUUAUUCAUUGUUCAUCUUUUAUUUCUUUACAUUUUAGUAGAAGUGACAAAUGCCCUCUAAGGACCAAACACACAUAAAUUGGAAAGAAAUAUAAAUACUAAUAGAAAAGUGAAAACCAAAAUGGUUUUGUUGCUGACGUUGUGUUUUUUUACUCUUUCACAAGUUGUGGUCAUUUCCUCAGUGUUUGAGCAUUUUCUCUCAUGAGAUUUGUCCUCAGGGGCCACUGUAGAAACUGUAAAGGCAUCACUUUCAAAUAUGUUAAAUAUUUUCUGUGCAUCAGUUGAUGUGAGCUCAACAAUAACAACAAUAGGUUUAUGCUUCUAUUAGGUGUUUGGAUCCUGUUUCGUGAGUGUUUAUAUUUACUGCGUUCUGUAACUGAACAGUCUGCACUCCUUUAGGUCCAGGUUGAAAUGUUGCUGUUUAACACUUACACAUUCACACACACCAGUUUGUAUAAAGACACAUGAACAAAGACCUGGGAAUGAACAAUCAUUGGUUGUUUUCACUCAGGCCUGGUGGAUUCUUGUAAAUGUCAUCAGGAGCACUAGGAGGAGUCAGAGGAACCAGAUUUUCUCACAGAUUGUCUGUCUCAUGAACUACUGUCAGGAUAUAAUUAAAGUUACAUCACAUACAAAAAGUUACCUGCUGCAGCUUUAAUACCAGGCCUGGGAGAGUGACAAAUUCCAUGUAACUGAGUUAUCAGGAUAGAAAAAAAAGGUUAAAAAAAGACGUAAUCAGAUGCAGUGUGUGUUGGUUUUCAGUGCAGCAGCUGAAACCACAUUUCAACAGAAACCAUCGCAACAGUCAAACCUGAAACUGCAGAUACAGAUCAGACAGGAAGCAAACAGCAGCUCAGUUUCACAUCAACACAAACCGUCAGCUCGGGUUGCAGUGUGAGAAAACACAUUUAAGAAUAUAUAUUCUUUUCAACUUUAAUUCAACUGUAACCAUAAUAAGCACAAUGGAGAACAUACCUAAACAUGUGAUUUAGUAGUUUGUUCAUUUAUAAUCCACCUAAAGUUCAGUUGUUCCACAGAAAGACUCACUACUGGUUUGUUUAAGGAAAAUGUAUGGGAGCUCAGCUGUGGAACAGUAUCCAAAGUGCAUUUCUCUCUCUACAUUAUUGCAUUUAUUUAGUUGUUUUUUGACAUAUAUUGCAUAUUUUACUUUGUUGUGUAUAACACGAUUUAUUGUAUCUGCCUUUAUUGAACUAUGAUUAUCUUCUUAUCAUCUUCUAUACAGCCAUUAGAGGUUUUUAAAAUCUCACAUGCACACUUUGCUUCUUUUCUCUUAUUUGUGAUUCUGUUUUAUUCUGCAAAUAAAAAAUAAAAUCAAAAAUGUGCAUGAGCAGAUUCUACUGCAGAGACUCACUUUCAUUUGGCUUUACAACUUUUUAACAGUGGAUGUUUGCAGUGACCUCCAGCAGUUGUUCCAACCUUUUUCCUUAAGAAACCAUUUUCUAUAAUUUAUUAAACUGACUCAGUGACAUAUAUAUAGAUAUUUCAUAUUAUAUUACAACUAAACAAUGACCCCAACAGUGAACUCAGUAACUACAGGAAGUUUGUGUAAAACCAGAGAGUUGGAUUAUUUUAUUUAUUUAUUUUUAUUUUAUUUAGAUUAUUUCCUGUUUAUUGAACUUUUUAUAUAGUCUUCUUUUUUAACAGAUUCAGUGUUUUCAUCCCUGUCGCUUGACUUUUGUUCUAUUAAACAAUUUAUAUUCCAUUUAGUUUUCUUCACAGAGGUGAACCAGAUGCUCAGAUAUAGGCCUACUGUGUAUAUUUCUGAAGUUUUCUAGCUCGCUUUAAACCCCAAUGUUGGGAACCACAGCACAUACUGGGUUGUAUUUCUGUGCUGAAUGGUAUCAGGAGCCAACAUUAGUGAAGCAUCAGCAGCAGUGAGGAGCUGCAGGUGAACAGUCAGGGCGGAUAUAAUGAAUGACCCACACAGGAUUCACUACACAGUCUAUGUUUGAGUGUCUUACUGUAGAUAUUUGUGAACUUCAGUACAUUAGCAGUUAUUUAUUCAUGUUUUUGUUUGUUCAUGUGUUAAAGUGGUAACGUUGGCAAAUUACUGAUUAAUGAUUCCACAAAUGUAUCUAUUUUUGGAACGCAGGAAAGAGAUGAUCAGCUCAUCAAUUUGUUUGAUAAAAGCCUUAAAACUGGUCUCAAACUCUAAUUGUCUUAGGGCCACUUCAAUGUUCAAGUGCUACAAGAAACCUUUGACCUUUGCCAACAAUUUUUGCACCCAACAAAAUACUUCUAUUUUUAAAGAGAAUUGUGUUUUUGUGUUCAUUUUGUAUGAAGGUGUAGUUUAAAUUGAUACUGAAACUAGAAAAAGGAAGAAUAAUAAUUCUCAACCCUUUAAAUGCAGCUGUACACAGUAACUCACUCUCCUCAUUUUAUAUUUUAGGAUGCUGCAGUCGAUAUCCAGCUACAAAAAACCCCGAACAUCCACAGUUAGAAUACAGGGUACAGAGUACUGAGUCGUCGCCAUGGAGAUGAACUCUGUCUCAUCUGCUUGCAUUGGUGUGAACUGGCUGGCGUGCAGACCGACACAAAACACAUAUUUCAUAUUCCCACACUUAUAUUACAAUACAGGCAGAUCUAUAAGGUCUAAAGGUCAUAAAACAGGAACUAACGGUGAAAACUGAUUUGGGUUCAGCCUGAGAGACGCUGCCAUCUAGUGGACGACAGCAUGUAAGUCCUGUUGAUGCAUUGAGGGUUCAGUAAUAAAUGUCAUUAAACUUAUGUGUCUCAGACUGAAAAUAAAAAAUAAUAACUUGUUUUGGAAAUCUAACCUCAUUAACAUUGUUAAAAACUUGUUUUAGAGGAUUUAGGAUUCAGUAAUAAACUCAGGGGAUGGUUAUAUUUGCAAUUUCUUGCUUUGGAGAUUGAAUCUGAGAUAUACUUAUAUGAUGAUAUUUCACAGAUGGUCUGACACUGAAUUGGUGACACUUGUGACUCAGAGGUGACCUCAAAAUAGGUUUUUAGCCAUAAUUUAAGAAUGAACUCUCAUCCAUUCUGCCUUUCACCGCCUGCCUCAUUCUGACUGCAGACAACGUAUGAA